RNAcentral lists this ribosomal RNA (434 nucleotides) under uncultured Desulfocapsa sp. RNAcentral's name for it is "bacterial SSU rRNA". It matches the Rfam family "Bacterial small subunit ribosomal RNA", at positions 950 to 1382 of the family's 1533-position model. The record is from RNAcentral. Lineage: Bacteria; Pseudomonadati; Thermodesulfobacteriota; Desulfobulbia; Desulfobulbales; Desulfocapsaceae.
UUCGACGCAACGCGCAGAACCUUACCUGGUCUUGACAUCUCGGAAUCAUUUGGAAACAUAUGAGUGCCUCGCAAGAGGAGCCCGAUGACAGGUGCUGCAUGGCUGUCGUCAGCUCGUGUCGUGAGAUGUUGGGUUAAGUCCCGCAACGAGCGCAACCCUUGUCUUUAGUUGCCAUCAUUAAGUUGGGCACUCUAAAGAGACUGCCGGUGUCAAACCGGAGGAAGGUGGGGAUGACGUCAAGUCCUCAUGGCCUUUAUGACCAGGGCUACACACGUACUACAAUGGCAGGUACAAAGGGCAGCCACUUAGCGAUAAGGCGCGAAUCCCAUAAAACCUGUCUCAGUCCGGAUUGGAGUCUGCAACUCGACUCCAUGAAGUUGGAAUCGCUAGUAAUCGCAGAUCAGCACGCUGCGGUGAAUACGUUCCCGGGCCUU